Molecule: long non-coding RNA, 1258 nt
Organism: Brachypodium distachyon (stiff brome)
Lineage: Eukaryota; Viridiplantae; Streptophyta; Magnoliopsida; Poales; Poaceae
Exons: 4
Source: RefSeq, a predicted model, not a curated record
AACAUGAUACAAUUUUCUGGUGUUCACCGGCAACGAACGGGUCUUUGCUGGUUGGAUCUAAUCCUUCGUCUUUCCUUCCCCGAAUCCUCUGUCUUUCCUCUCCCCCGACGGCCAACGCCGGACGCCUACCUUCCGUUUCUCUCACCUCUCCCCGGCGGCACCUCCUCCCCACUGUCCCCUGAACUCCCCCUCAAAACCCAGCCUGACGACCAACAGUAGCCUCAUCUCCAACCUUUAUCGAGCUUGAUUUGUGUCCACCGUGAGAGAUCUCAGCCAGAUCUGAGUGGAUAAGUGAGAGAGAGGAGGAAGAAAAAGGGGGAGUGGGGAGAUAGAGAGAACGGGCGAGGCGGCGUGUGUGGCGGAGCAGGUUCCAGCAGGCCGGAGCAGGGCGUGGCGGUGACGGUGGUGGUGGUGGAGCAGGCCUGUCUUGAUUCGUCCAGAUCCACGUGGCUGAGUACGACGGCGCUGCAUCGACGGCGCCGGCGAGGAAACUGCUACACACGCCGUAUGUGAUCAGGAGGAGGGCGAUGGUUCUAUCUUCUCAUAAUCAUACAACCAGCCAUGAAUUGUUUUCAUGAAGCACCAUGGCUCGUGGGUGUCGGGAGGAUUUCAGGCGAUGGCCUGGUGUUGUGAUAUGGAGCCACGAAGGAUAGAGAGUUAUGACUUUUUGACAGCAAAGCUGCAAAGGCAUGAAGAGUUAAUCUGCUGGGAGAUAGAAGAACAACAAGCUGCAUGGCCAAUGAUGCCUACACGUCAAAGCUCCAUUCAUGUGGCGUUUCUGUCAUUGACAUGAGCGGCGGAGAAGGCAUUGCAGCGUGGCGUCAUGGCCUUUGGGAAGGAGCUCUACUGUCCGCGCAUGGCUGCUGCCACGCCAAUAGCGACAAAGGUUAGGAACAAGUUUCAUGUCAGCUUGAAGCCUUUGUUUCCAUGGAUCCUUGGGAAUGUUGGUGAUCGAUGCCCUGCCGACGAUGACAGCGUGAAAAGGCAACCGAGUUGGUUGAGACAAAGGAUCUUGUCAAUGGCUGUACGAAGGUGAUCGAGUUGUGGUUUCGACGAGGAUCUCGUCAAUGGCUGUAAGGAGGUGAUCGAGUGUGAAAAAACUAAGGUUUCAACCAGAAUUUUCUUGGCUUGCAACAAAUAAAAUUGUUGAUUUACAAACUUGUAAAUUUGACUUGGUGAUGUUUUAGAUCGCUUGUAACUUUGACUUGCUGUUUUAAACCGUAUUGCGCGUGUGAUGCUUCAAAUUCAUGUUCCUAAA